AACGAACGCUGGCGGCAUGCCUAACACAUGCAAGUCGAACGAGACCUUCGGGUCUAGUGGCGCACGGGUGCGUAACGCGUGGGAACCUGCCCUUAGGUUCGGAAUAACUCCCCGAAAGGGGUGCUAAUACCGGAUAAUGUCUUCGGACCAAAGAUUUAUCGCCUUUGGAUGGGCCCGCGUUGGAUUAGCUAGUUGGUAGGGUAAAAGCCUACCAAGGCGACGAUCCAUAGCUGGUCUGAGAGGAUGAUCAGCCACACUGGGACUGAGACACGGCCCAGACUCCUAGGGAAGGAAGCAGUGGGAAUAUUGGACAAUGGGCGAAAGCCUGAUCCAGCAAUGCCGCGUGAGUGAUGAAGGCCUUAGGGUUGUAAAGCUCUUUUACCCGGGAUGAUAAUGACAGUACCGGGAGAAUAAGCUCCGGCUAACUCCGUG
This 432-nucleotide ribosomal RNA is filed under the name uncultured bacterium. RNAcentral's name for it is "partial 16S ribosomal RNA". It matches the Rfam family "Bacterial small subunit ribosomal RNA", at positions 29 to 507 of the family's 1533-position model. The record is from RNAcentral.